RNAcentral lists this small nuclear RNA (98 nucleotides) under Myotis lucifugus (little brown bat). Lineage: Eukaryota; Metazoa; Chordata; Mammalia; Chiroptera; Vespertilionidae. The record is from RNAcentral.
UUGCUUCAGGCAGCACAUAUGCUAAAAUUGGCAUGAUACGGAGAAGAUUAGCAUGGCCCUGAGCAAGAAUUUAUUUUUAAGUGUUCUGCUAAUAAAAA